AAAGGCUCUUAUCGAAGCCGUUUAUGCUCUCCUGUAGCAGAAAGUGGUCAAAAGGAGCCGAGAUGAAAACUUUCACCGACGGUCGCUGUUCAGUUUGAAAGUAACUGUUUCAGCAACAUUAAGGGGAAGGACAACA
Non-coding RNA from Xyrichtys novacula (pearly razorfish), 136 nucleotides. NCBI's taxonomy places the organism in Eukaryota, Metazoa, Chordata, Actinopteri, Labriformes, Labridae. The record is from the annotation of a GenBank genome assembly.